Molecule: non-coding RNA, 8188 nt
Organism: Equus caballus (horse)
Lineage: Eukaryota; Metazoa; Chordata; Mammalia; Perissodactyla; Equidae
Source: RefSeq, a predicted model, not a curated record
UUGAGACGAUCAUGCCAUUUUUGUCCUUUAUUUUAUUAAAAUGGUGUAUUACAUUGAUUGAUUUUCCUAUCUUGAACCAACUUUGUGUUCCUGGGAUAAAUCCCACUUGGUUAUGGUGUAUAAUCCUUUCAUGUGUUGCUGAACUUAUUUUCUAAUAUUUUGUUGGGAAUUUUUGCAUCUAUAUUCAUAAAAGAUAUUGGGAUGUAAUUUCUCUCUAUUAUGAUGUCUUUUUAUGGUUUUGGUAAAAGCAUAAUACUCAUCACAGAGAACGAUUUGGGAAGUGUUCUCUCUUUUAUUUUUUGGGAGGGUUUUGAAGGAUUGGUAUUAAUUAUUCUUUAAAUGUUUGGUAGAAUUUAUCAGUGGAGACAUCUGAGCCUAGGCAUUAUUUGUGGUAAGUUUUAAUAUUAUUAUUUCUUUUUAUUUAUUAUGCCAAUAUUAUAAGUUUGAAUAUUAUGUCUCUUUAUUUGUUAUGUCUAUUCAGAUUUUCAAUUUCUUCUUGAGUAAGUUUUGAUUGUUUGUGACUUUCUAGCAAUUUGUCCAUUUCAUCUAAGUUAUCUGUUGACAUACAACUUUUCAUAGUUUACUGUUAUAAUCUUUUUAUUUCUGUAAUGUCAGGUUAUUGAUUUGAUAUCUUUAUUCUCUUUUUAAAACAGGUAUUUAUAGCCAUAAAGUUCCUUCUGGGCACUGCCUUCUCAGCAUCCCAUAACUUUUAGCAUAUUGUGUUUUUGUUUUUAUUCAUGUCAAUGUGUGGUCAGCAAAGGAACUGAGAAAGAAUGGGCAAUGAGGUAGCAGGAAACCUAAAGGGUUGGUUUCAUGGAAAUCAAGAGAUAAAAAUAUUUCAAGGAGGAGAGAGUGUUGACCCCACAGAAUGCUGUUGAGAGAGUAAAAUGAGGUCAGGGAAGCGCAGGUUUUCCUUAGUAUUAUGGAAAUCAUUAGUGGUUGGUUAUGAACAGUUCUCCUGGGUUGGAGGGGGAGACAGAAGCCCUGGUGAAGUGGCCAAAGAGAUGUCUGGAAGUGAAAUCAUAAAGGCAAUCAAUAUUAGACAACUGCUUUCAUAAGUUUUGCUGUGAGGUGGAGCAACCAGAUGAGAGAAGUCCUAGGGGAGGGAUGCGGGAUGGCAGGAAUGCUUGGCAAAGAUGGGGGAUCCUAGAGCAUGUUUGUAUGCUAAUAGAAAUGAGAGAGAAAGACACUAAUAAUUCAGGACAGAGUUGCAGAAAUCCUUGAGAAGGAGAGAGAAGAUGGGAUCCAGAGGACAAACAUGUUAGCCUUUCAUGGGAAGAGAAACACUUCUUCCAUUGUGGAAGGAAGAAAGAGCAUAUGGGUACAGACGCCAAUGGAGAUGAUGGUGGGAGGAUGAGAGAAUUCCCGCACAACUGUUUCUAACUUCUCAGGAAAAUGAGGUGAGGUCAACAGUUAAAAGUUGGCGCAGGUUAGUGGGAAUAUUAGAGGUCAGAAAACAGAUGAGAAGGUGUUAAAUGGACCUCUUGGAGAGAGGAAAAAAUUUGUUUCUGGGGAGCAUGUUAGACUUACUGGGUAUUUUUUGGUAGCCAUUUUGAGUUUAAAAAGAGCCCAGUUCGCACGGAUAUGUUCGUUUUCUCAGGGGAAGGCUCAGAGUAGAUGGAUAGUUUAAGUGGAGCAGUUGUUUUCCCAGGUGAGUGAAUAGAGGAUGAUAAAGCAAGAAUGUGUUAAAUGUGCUUUGCCACACACACAGAGACACAGACACACACAUACACAGACACAUCACACUCAUUUACAUGCAUGCCACACUCCCACGUGCAUGCAUACACACACUCACACACAUCAUACUUUUAUACACACACUCCAUACUCACAAGCACUAGCCCACUUAACUUUUACAGUAAACCCCCAACAGCACCUUAGUACUGUUUUUGAUGUAUCUGAAGAUUGAAGGGCACUUGUAGUUUCCUCUCUGUGAAUCACUCUCCUCCCUGUUCUUCAAAUAUUUUAAACAUGAUCAUGAAGUAAUCAGAGCCAGUGUUGGGAUUCUGUUCUGUCCCUUUGAGCCAUCCCUUCAGUGGAAUUUCUUUGGAGCUUUUCCUUCUGACACCCAGCCUACUACUGUCCUGGUGGCUCCAGGACCUCCUCAUGCAGUGGGUCUUCUCCGGACUGUGCUCCACACCAACUGACCACCCCAUCCUCUCCUCAGUGUAGCUAGAAUUUGGGCUCUGCUCCUCACUGGGAUGUGACCUGCUCUGGAAUAUGGGAGCAAUAAUAAUUUAUUGUGAGGAUUUAAAAAAUAUAUAAUGCAUUGAAUGUGCUCAAUUCUGGGGAACAUAGCAUGUAUUUAAUAAAUGCCAAAGUGAUCAGUUUCUCUCUUUCCCUUAAUCUGAACCUAUGUUGUCUGUUCUGGUCACAUUUCCUGAAAGACAUUCAUUCAGUUAGACAUUUUUUACUAGCAAAAUUUAAUUAAUUCUUGAUGAUAGAAUUUCAAGUUUAACAGGGUUCUUCUGGAAAUACCAUCAGAAUCUACAGUUGACUCUAAUAGGACUGCAGGUGAGCAAAAGGGUCAUAUUUUGGGCAUGCAGAUCUUUUCACUUGGCUUAAAUCAUACAGAAGGACUGACUUUGAUCAUCAUGAAUUAAAAUAAACUAUACAUUGAGAAGAGGAAAUUAGGUUAUUUUCAUGGCCUGGUUGCUGGAGUAGUUCGUAAAUAAAAUGAAUUAUUAGGUUUUUAAAAUAUCAGAGUUUUGUGCCAUAUCCAAGGAUUCUUGACCAUGUUACAGAACAACACUGCAAUAUCAUAAAAAAGUAUUGUGCCACUGGCAUAAACUCAAAGGGCAUUUCUUUAAAAAGCAACCCCUUGGGACUGUGGGUGAGAAUCUCUCUCUCACUCCGCUUUUGGCUACUGUGACAUUGGCCAUCACAUCUGCUCGUCAAGUCCCAAGCGAUAAGUCACUCUUGGUCUCUAAGGACAGAGGAUUUUACAUAAAUGUGCCUCAUUUACUAGCCAUUUUUCCUGCAUUGAUUAGUCACCAUUUUAUUUUGAAAACAGUGCUAAUGGCUAAGGUUAAUCCUGAGCGGUAGUGGAAAGUAACAAAAUGAACAUACUCCCGCUUUUUAAAGUUGUCCUACUGAGCACAUUAGCUUUUCGUGACUUGUGGCAUAUAAGAGAAUUGUUCAGAGGCAAGGCUGAGACUUUGUGUUUUGAUCUUUUACAUUUCCCUUUUAUUCUUUAGUUCUUAGAAUGGUAACAAAUUAUAUGUUAUUGAUGAUUUUACAGUGUGUAUAUUGGCCAGUGCAAGUAAUCCUACACUUGUAUUGAUCAGCAGCGAUGGCUCAUAAUCUAUGUGAGUAUAACCAGCCCCAUGGCAUUAUAGUCAUGUGGUAUUAUGUAUGCAAAACCAUGUUCCUAUGGUUUUGAUGUUAUGGGAAGUAGCAGACUGUUUUCUUAAUUCUUGUAAGUUGAAUUUCCCCCUAAAGACUCAUUAUGAAAAGGCAUGUUGAAACGUGGGGUGUCAUUACAGGAUUGUACUCGCUUGGUGACAAGCAACAAAAGGAGAAAAACGUUUCUGACAAUUUCUGAAAUGUGAUCAUUAGAAAUCACUCUCUGAAAUUAAUGAGAUGCUCGAGAAAGCCAAGAGCUUAAUAGAUCACAUCAUGUGUGCAACUUGAUGGGGGCUUUAAAUGGGGAUGCGAUUAUUUGCCAAGCAAAGGCAAGGGUUUGCACAACCAACCACUUUCUCACCACUGCUGCUUAAUGAAAAUCGAACAGAUCUACAAGGAUAAACAUUGAAAUGAUUACAGAACAUUCUGACCCUGAGGAAAUUACAUGUAAUUCAAUUAACAGCUAAAGCUUUCGUUUUAUUCGCCAAAGGACUAUCUUCUCUCUCUCUUUUUUGUUGAGGUGAGGAAAUAUUUUAGAAAUCAGCUAGAAGGUAAAUCCUCCCAUGCAAACAACUGAAUCUCCCAUUUAGUGUUUCUUGUUUUUCCCCGUCUGUUGACUCUUGGCGUCUCCCCUGCUGCUCCUGAUCCCCACCUGGCCCAGUCGUGAUUCUUCUGUUGUGCGUCUGUCUCCAUGGAGACAGACUGCUCAGAAGGGGGAGCCGUGCACAGUAUCCAGCCGCGAACCUCUCUGGGCUCUCCUGGGCUCGGCUUCUCUUUGCUCGAAGUGCAGAAAGGAGGAGAAAUUACCUCAUCUUUAGAGGAGCAUACAUGUGUUUGGGACCAAAAUUCCUCCCUCCGUGUGGUUCUGCAGAUGCAGCUGAAUAAAACCCUGAGAGGAGAGCUGGGAAGCCAUCUGUUUCCCUUGCUGCAGUGUGGGGAGAGCCACGACAAUUGUCGGGAGGACCUAAAGCGGAAAGAGAGAGAGGGAUGGAAGAUAAAGAAGAUAUGAAAAUUAAGGAUUCUCUAACAGACUUACACCAGCAGUCCAGCUGUGCAGGAGAAAGGCUGUUAUCUAGAAACCUGAGAAAUAGAUGUAGGAAGACAGCGUGUCGCUGAGAUAAUCCUGUGGAGGCCGACUCACGGCUCUGUGGGCUAGAAUGUCACACCAGGCUUUUCCGUGUGAUUCUGUAAGCGAUUCCAGGCUACUCAUUCCCAUUCUCGUGCUUUGUGGUGGCAGUGGGCAACAAGGAACCUGCGCAAUCACCUAGUGAUGAAGUCUCAUUCAUCAUUUCAUUUUCUUAUUGGGAAUAAUUUAGCCGACAUUAAUUGAGUACCUACUGCACCAAGCAUUGUGCUCAGUAGAUAUAAAGAAUAAAACAUUGUUUCUAGAAUUAAGGAGCUUACAGUACAGUAAAUUUGCCACCCAUCUGAACUUAGAAAUCCUGCCACCGAUGGCUGUUUGAGAUUUUGAAAAAGAGAAGCUGAAACUGUGGGAGUCAUUAAAACCUGGUUGUUGUAACAAAGCUGGGAAAAGGAUCUCAUACGGCCACUGGGCUGAUCUCCACCACUUGACAACCUUGUAAAAUAUGAUUGCAUCAUUUCAGGAUGAGGAGUAAUGCGGAUUACUGGCUAAUUUUGGCUCACUGUGCUGUGUUAUCAAGUGCACUUCCUGAGAGUCCUGUAUUUUCUGGUUUAAGGGUGGCUGAUGACGUACUUGUAACCAAGGGACUCGGCCCAGCCCAAGUGCUUCUGACUAAGAGGAGCAUGCCAAGUAAAUAAGCACUUCGCUGUGCCAUGCCUGAGAGAAGGAAUGCAAAGAUUAAUUCACUGGCCCUAAUAUCUUUAAUCCAAUGAUUCACAAACAAACACCACCAUUUGGAUUCCAGUAACUGUAAUAGUAUAACAGUCGCUGACUUUUAUUAGUGUGUAAUUAACCCUGUAGUGUGUCAAGAUGACAGCUGUAAUUUUCUGUUCACUCAGAGAUGUCCAUAGACCUCAGUAUUCUAACUAGUCAUGCGAUAUCCUUUCAGUACUUUGAUGGUUAAUGUCAACAUUUGUGAACAUGUUGACAGCUAACAGUGAGAGGUGUAUUUAUUACAUUUCACAAAGUAUGCAUAUGUUUAAUCUUCAACUGGUUUUGAGUUCAGAAGCAAAGCUGGAGUGUGGGAUUUGGAGAUGGGAAUGGAGGGGUGAGGGGAGAGGUGGGUAGUCUACCAAGCCAGUACUCCCAGAUUCAAGACCCUUUCAGCUGGCCUGCAUGGCUGUCCUUCCAAAGAUGAUUUGAAUUGACACACAAUGCUUCUUUAGCUGAGGCCUGACCCAGUUACCUCUCUCUAUUGCAGCUCCUUGCUAUUCCAGGGCUGUCAGUUCCUGAGCUCUCCAGAGCAUUGUUGCUGCUGCAACUUCAUCACUGUCAUGGAACUGCCAUGCCCACACUGAUGCCAGCUCCAAGCCACUGCUAGAAUAUGGAAUGCUAUCAUUACAGGGCUCAUAGCUGUGUGCCCCUCUGGCACACCGGGACCUCUCCUGCCAGUGUUCCUCCUCUUCUGGCCUCUCACAGCUUGGUGGGUCUCAUGAGGUACCCCAGGUACCAUGUUUCCUGUUGUAUCUCUUCAGUACAGGGCGCAGACCAAAGCUGCUACAUUCCUUACCUGUGGUACAUUUCAGCACCCGAGGCCACUAAAGUAGGGCGCAGGCUAUCGGUCCUAGCUAGGCUACAAGGAGACAUGUCUUUUUUCUCUCUCAUUUUUUAAACCCUCUCUUUCCUGCUGUAGUGGCCAUUUACACUUUCCUUCUUACCCCUGCAAGAUGAGUGCCCUCCUUCCAAAAGAGUGAGGCCUCACACAAAUAGGUGAUUAAUUUCUAAAGUCUCUGCCUGAACCCUGGGCCACCAUACUGUUCAUGGGAGACUGGAGAGUUGUUUCUAUAAAUAGCAGUUCCAGUGUUCACCAGUGUGUAAGAUGCAGUUGGUAGUCAGAGAGUACAGUGAAAGUUCUUGGCCUUCAAGGUCUUGAUUGAACUUGAGACUUUAUCCUCAUUAGCUUCGUGCUUGGAGCAAAUAGCAACUGACUCAUAUAUCAACUUAAAGUUUAUCAAAUUCUUGAAAAUGUUUGGGAUCAUUUGGUAAAAAUGAGCAGAGAUGGAGGCUCAAAUUGUUUUCUGGGUAAUAGAUCUUGUUUGAGGUUUUUUUCCCCCUAGUGCAGCUUGAAAACCACCUGACAGUAAUUAAAUUAUUCUAACAUCUCACUCCCACCUCCCACACACAUUUUCCCCUUUUGUUUUGUUAUUUGGUGCUGUGUGCAAUUAUCUUCUUUUAAGAAACAAGCACAGCCACCCACAACCACACGUGUUAACUGUAAAUCUGAACUUGUGGCAAUGGGGAGGAGGCAUCCUUUUCCCUUUCUCUCACAGGGUGUAAACUGGUUAUUCACAUUUUCUUUGAUGAGAAUUUUAAGCACCGAGCCCCAUCUUCACAAGCACAUGCAGCAGAUGGUUAGGAAUACUGUGUGAUAAGGAAAGCUGGCCAAUUUCUUAAGUUAUUUUCACCUCCUGAACAUAUUCCAAAGAAAUGCAAUGGCAUAUUUUAGGGUGUGUCUUUACAAGACCUCUUUCCUUAAAUACGAAUAUAAUUUGCUGAUGUGUUCACUUUAAGAUGGAUUCAUUUGGGGGAUGUCUCUGCUGUAAAUGAUCUUGUAGCAUUUUCAUGCAAAAUUAGACUUCUGUUGAAAGCUCUCCUGGGUGUUGCUGCCUAGGAAUUAACCCAUUGUUCCUUCUCUUCACUCAGGCAGACUAUGAGACAGGAGGAAAUGAAGCAAGAUAUUUAGGUGAACUCCUAAUGACGUUUAUGCACGUUAUCCGUGUGAUGAGUUAAUCUGCAUAGAGAAGGAAAGACGUUUCCAGGUCACUUGAUGUGUUCUGUGAACUAACUCCACCAUUUACUAGGUUGGGGUCUUUAGGCAUAUUUCUUAAACUCCAUAUCUUUCUGUAAAAUGGGGUCACCAUUGUGACCUCUUUGGGUUGUUGUGGCAUUAGGAAAGACAAUAUGUAAGUAAAGCUCUUUUUUUCAUAGAGGUGCUCAAUAAAAAGUAGUGAAACUGGUGGAUAAAUGAUGGAGAAAUAUGAACACACAUCUGGUUGCUACGCACAAGGGCCUUCUGGCUGCAGAGACAUUCAAAGAGUCCUCCUUCAGGGAAAGUCCUCUGAUAGCCAGCAACACCCUAAAAGGCCUCACCUCAACUGAAAAUGCUCCCUGGCCUUAUAUUCCUUCCUAAUAUACUCCCCUGUCCCAGACCAUUGCUUCUGGAGGACAUGUAAACUAAUAAAUUGACUCCAAAGUUGUAGUUUCAGGGGAGAGUAGAAUAACAGAUCUGUGGUGUCAGCAGAGAGCUCCCAGUGGGAGGAGUAGUACUAAUAGCUAUAGCAGCAGUAAACCUCCAGGGAAGCAGUGGGAUAGAGUAUGACUGGAUAACAGAUCACCCGUUAUUUUGGAUUAUCCAAACUAUUGAUCAGUUCAAUAAUCAAUGGGUAAAGAUAGCGUGCUAUUUUAUGAUGUCAUUACUAUUUCCGUUAACAUAACCAGCUUCAGAAUGUGUGUGUAUUUCUUCGUUUUAACAUAUCUUCAUCUCAGGAUUUUUAUUUAUAUUUAUACCAUCAACAUCAAGAACUUUUAGAUUCAUUGCUGGGAUUGAUCCAUUUACUUAUAUAUGUAUAUACACAUCUUAUAAAGACAAAUGACAACCUUUUGGAAUGUGGCUUAAAUUCUUUGUAAAGAUUUGUCCUUGGAUUUACUCUGAAUAGCCAAAUAAGGUUUUAGAUGACCUCUAAUAAAUUCAUUUUUAAUUGUG